Molecule: long non-coding RNA, 3277 nt
Organism: Podarcis raffonei (Aeolian wall lizard)
Lineage: Eukaryota; Metazoa; Chordata; Lepidosauria; Squamata; Lacertidae
Exons: 2
Source: RefSeq, a predicted model, not a curated record
GCCCUAGGCUGUCCUCUCCCUGCCAGCCUGGUCUGAAGCUGUGCCCUGUUGGGAUGGAGAUAUUGUGGAUAGAGCUAAUAUGUGCCAGCUUGACCCUCCCUACGCCAAUUUAUUUGGAAUGUCCAAAGGGAGCUAAAGAAAAGCAAGGAAGUAGAAGAAAACUUGCUCAAGUAUUACUUGCUUACUUGGAAGUAAGUCCUACUAAGUGAGGCCUACUCCCCAAGCACGUGUGCCCAAGACUGCAGCCAUGUUUUGCUCUUUAGCAGGCAUUGCCAACACACUUUGUAGCUGUCAAAAUAUUGCUCUUUUUCUCUUGUCAGCCCCCAAAUUUAAAACGUGGAAUUUCUCAAGAAGCUGAAUUGCACCACGUCUUGAUACCACCUUCUGCACUUUUUCUGCAUCCCCCCAGGAUCUCAGCAUGCACAUCACAGCCCUGGUCCUUUCUGCAUGCACCGCAUGUGCUCUGCUGCUGAGCCGUGGACCCCCAUCCCAAAUGAAUAAAUUAAUCAAAUUAAUAAUGUUGAAAUGUAGCCCAAGGCUCAAGAUGGGAGAUGUUUCAGGAUUGUGCACCUUAACUCCCUGCUCUUUUAAAGGGAGAGAAGAGACUUACACAUUGCUUUUUCCUUGUGAAUACAUGCAAAAUAAUUAUUAAAAGAGAUUUAUGCUGGAAAAGUAGACUUUGUUGGAAACUAUGAAAAUUCAUUUGAAUGAAUGGAAGUAGUAUUGAACCAGAUGACCAUUUGUCUUUUUCUUUGCUUACAAAAAUGUAUAUUUGACCAAUACCGUUCUAUUGUGUUUUUCAAAAUAAGUAUUCCUUUGCACUAACUUGUACUUUAAACACGUGAGUACCUUGUCAAGUUUGCCAAUAAUUUCCUGGAAAUCCUUGCCUGCUUUUAAUAGGCAGAGGUCAGGUGGCUGCAAAGCAUUGUGCUCCACUUCUUCCUCUGCUCCAUUUCAAUCUGCCCUACAACUUUGCUAAAAGAAAAAGUUGUUUGGUCUAGGUGAAAUGUGUGUAAAUACAACAGGCUUCCUAUAUUGUGUUUGAAACACACGUGCCAUGGGAUUCUGUGCAUUUUUACUCUGAAGCAAAUUCCACUGCAUUCCACAGAGUAAGUAUGUGUAGCAUUGUAGUCUUAAUUUGAAACCCUGUUGGUUUCUUUUAGUGGACUUUACUUAUCAUGUAGGUAUGCUUAGACAGGAACAUCAGGGAGAAGAGCCCUGAAGCCAGAAUCCCCCUCCAGGUGUUGUUGGACUCUGGCUCCCACCAGUCCCAACCAGCAUGGCCAGUGGUCGGGGUGGUGGGAGAUUUGGUCAAAAACACCUGGAGGGUGCCAGGUUGAGGAAGGCUGCCUUGAGCACAGGACACUCAGUCCUCUGUGUGUUUACUUUGAAAUACAACUUCAGUAGGGCUCACUCCCCACCUAAGUUUGCAUAGGAUUGGUGGCCCUCGCCCUGCACUCCUAAGCACACAACCUUCAGGGAAGCCUCACUGAAGUCAAUGCAACCUCCUGAGUAAACCUGAUCAGGACAGGAUCAACAUGUUACAGCUUGCCCUUGCCUUUUCUUGAAUCUAUAGAUUUAAUGUGAAGCAAGAACAUUGGGGCUAGAAAUUCCAGCUAUGUUGCUGUUAAUAAAUUGAAAUUUGUUCCAUUAAUCUUAGGCAGCUGAGCUCUAACAUGCCAUGCACUUGACUGGCUGUGCAGGGAACUUGGAAAUGCAUUGCUCUGUAUUAGUAAGAGUUGGCAACAGCUUCUGGGGCUCCUCCAAAAGCCUGCUUCUCCCAUGCCUAGAUAGCACAGUUCUGAGCAGUUUUCCACUUAAGCCACACUUUCUAAUAUUAUUAUUUAUUCAAUUUGUAUACCACCCUAUACCCGCAGGUCUCAGAGCGGUUCACAACAUAAAAUCACAGUAUAAAAACACAAAAUACUGAAUAAAAACAAAAAACAAUCCAAUAAUCACCCACUUCCACAACACAUUUUAAAAGGGCAUCAGAUGUCAGUCAGCCAAAGGCCUGAUUAGAGAGGAAUGUUUUUGCCUGGCGCCUGAAAGUGUAGAAUGAAGGUGCCAGGCAGACCUCCCUGGGGAGAGCAUCCCACAAAUGGGGAGCCACUGCAGAAAAAGCCUGUUCUCAUAUUGCCACCCUCUGGACCUCUUGUGGAGGAGGCAGCUAGGUUCAUCCAUUCUGACACAACCUUACAAAGGGCUGCUUAUGACUUUGUGGAAAGCAUGGCCUCCAUGGGGCUGUCCCUGAAUAAGUUUCUGAACCCCUCAGUGUUUUGAAUCCAUUGUGCAAGCUCUACUGCAUGUGACUCAGAGCAGAGGUGCUUAAUAGGAGAUGGCCUCUCUACACCCAUGAUGAGGACAAUCCACACCCUAACAUUCUCCUUUGAAAGCCUUGCUGAAAUGCUAGAAUCCGCAAAGACUUCAACAUCUCCUUUCACUUGGGCAGCUUGUUUCGGAGGGACCUUUUCACAAAGGACCCCUUGACUUUCAACUGCCUCACCUAUAGCUUAAAAGGGUCAGCCAGAUAGAUCCUUCUGGGAAUCUUACCAGGAAGGAGUCACAAAGGUGAUGGAUAACUCCAACUGCUCCUGUAUUUGAAGACUUCAUUUAGCUCUCAAGACCAUGAUUACCCAGUUUCCUUUUGAAAACCCCUAAGCCAGUCUUAUGGCAGUGGGCCUCAUCUAUUAUUAUUUUUCAUACUGUGUGGAAAAGUAAUUUCUUGUGUCUGGCUGAGCCAGAGGAGAGAAAUUUCCCUUGCCUAUAAGGUUGCAGGCCUAGGCUCCACUUUUACGAGAGAGCAAGCCCAUUGAAUUCAACAGGACUGCCAAGUAAACGUGUUUAAAAUCACAUGAUGGUGCUGCUUGCUUUGCAUCUGUGGAACUGUCACUUGGUCCAGAAUCUGCCUAAACCAAAAUGCUUGGAUGUGAUCCUGUUGAAGCAAAUCCAAGUUAUUUGUAUUAAUUUAGGCUACAGAUGGAUGAAGUUGUAAUAAUUUUUCUCUCCUUGCCAAGCAUCCACCCAGUGGGUUCAAGGAAAAAGCAAACCAAUCCAUCAUCAAAACUGUGUUUUCUUGUUUUAUUAAGAAAAAAGUUUUGGAACUGUUUGUACAUUUAGCUAUGGGACUCCCACUAAUAACUCUCAGAUGUGAAUUGUGCUCCUGUAGAAAGAGUACCGGUAAUUUUUUUUCUCUGAGCAAAAUUUAUAUGGUACAGUUGCUUGAUCCAAACAAGUAAUUGGGGAUAACUGUUUUAAUAAAACAGAAUGAACAUUUUAA